UUACUUGGAUAACUGUGGUAAUUCUAGAGCUAAUACAUGCAAACAGAGCUCCGACCGGAGACGGAAGGAGCGCUUUUAUUAGAUCAAAACCAAUCGGUGGCGGUUCGCCGUCAUCGUAAUACUUGGUGACUCUGAAUAACUUUACGCUGAUCGCACGGUCUAGCACCGGCGACGCAUCUUUCAAAUGUCUGCCUUAUCAACUGUCGAUGGUAGGUUCUGCGCCUACCAUGGUUGUAACGGGUAACGGGGAAUCAGGGUUCGAUUCCGGAGAGGGAGCCUGAGAAACGGCUACCACAUCCAAGGAAGGCAGCAGGCGCGCAAAUUACCCACUCCCGGCACGGGGAGGUAGUGACGAAAAAUAACGAUACGGGACUCAUCCGAGGCCCCGUAAUCGGAAUGAGUACACUCUAAACCCUUUAACGAGGAUCAAUUGGAGGGCAAGUCUGGUGCCAGCAGCCGCGGUAAUUCCAGCUCCAAUAGCGUAUAUUAAAGUUGUUGCGGUUAAAAAGCUCGUAGUCGAAUCUGUGUCCCGCGCCGCCGGUUCAUCGUUCGCGGUGUCAACUGUCGUGCCGCGGGACGUCCUGCCGGUGGGCUUAGCCCGCGAGGCGCCCCAACUCAAUCCCGCCGCGGUGCUCUUCACUGAGUGUCGAGGUGGGCCGGCACGUUUACUUUGAACAAAUUAGAGUGCUUAAAGCAGGCUAAAACUUCGCCUGAAUACGUGUGCAUGGAAUAAUGGAAUAGGACCUCGGUUCUAUUUUGUUGGUUUUCGGAACCCCGAGGUAAUGAUUAAUAGG
Molecule: ribosomal RNA, 794 nt
Filed under: Salpingus planirostris
Lineage: Eukaryota; Metazoa; Arthropoda; Insecta; Coleoptera; Salpingidae
Description: SSU rRNA
Rfam family: Eukaryotic small subunit ribosomal RNA
Source: RNAcentral